Molecule: ribosomal RNA, 468 nt
Filed under: uncultured bacterium
Lineage: Bacteria
Description: partial 16S ribosomal RNA
Rfam family: Bacterial small subunit ribosomal RNA
Source: RNAcentral
GACGAACGCUGGCGGCGUGCUUAACACAUGCAAGUCGAACGGAAAGGCCCUGCUUUUGUGGGGUGCUCGAGUGGCGAACGGGUGAGUAACACGUGAGUAACCUGCCCUUGACUUUGGGAUAACUUCAGGAAACUGGGGCUAAUACCGUAUAGGAGCUCCUGCUGCAUUGUGGGGGUUGGAAAGUUUCGGCGGUUGGGGAUGGACUCGCGGCUUAUCAGCUUGUUGGUGGGGUGGUGGCUUACCAAGGCUUUGACGGGUAGCCGGCCUGAGAGGGUGACCGGCGACAUUGGGACUGAGAUACGGCCCAGACUCCUACGGGAGGCAGCAGUGGGGAAUAUUGCACAAUGGGAGGAAGCCUGAUGCAGCAACGCCGCGUGCGGGAUGACGGCCUUCGGGUUGUAAACAGCUUUCGCCUGUGACGAAGCGUGAGUGACGGUAAUGGGUAAAGAAGCACCGGCUAACUACGUG